Long non-coding RNA from Schistocerca piceifrons (Central American locust), 789 nucleotides. RefSeq lists it as uncharacterized. The transcript has 4 exons. The record is from RefSeq and is a predicted model, not a curated record. NCBI's taxonomy places the organism in Eukaryota, Metazoa, Arthropoda, Insecta, Orthoptera, Acrididae.
AGAGCUUGCUGGGGAAUUUAAUACGUGUGUGCAGUGCCCUUGGAUCAAGAAAGAAGGAUCAGUCACAACAAAAGAUGAAAAGCUGUCAGUGUAGGAUACCUUGCAGACGGUCCUGCAAAACCGUAUAACGUAAAAUCAAGCAGUAGGCUUUGACAUGCCCAAGCCUGCAGGGCGACCCGGCCGGAGUGGCAGUGCGGUUCUAGGUGCUACAGUCUGGAGCCGAGCGACCGCUACGGUAGCCGGGCGAGCACCUACAUGUGUGGACCUGCAGCAAACUCAGCCACCAUCUUGGCGAGACCUCCACCGACCUCUGGACCUGCAGCAGCAACAACCUCCAGCAUGUUUGAACCUGUAGCAACCACACGGGAUCCCGGUCCACACACAACCCACCUGCUGGAGUUGGACAUUGAGCUGUUACUGUCUGCGCCACUCAUCGAUUUGUGUGACAAGGACAGGUGGUCUGCUCCCAACACAUUGAAUACUGCUUGUGGUCCUAAACAACAGCAAGAUGGAGGACAGUAUUGGUCACUGACUAUGACCCAUCCUAGCAGAACAUCCCUGUGCUAGUGCACUCACAGAGUGCAAAUGCUGUGGAUACGAAGGUAUCAAGGGUACCCAUGCUUUUCAGUUCUACACACAAUUUAACUCGUAGUGGAACGAAAUAUGCAAACAUGGUUAUAGAAGCACAUCCUGAGUGGGGCUUGCGCAUGAGAAUAUAAAUUGAAAAUGCAUUGAUGGGUGUUGAAAUGCCUAUUUCUGACGUCAACUGGGAUAAUGUCGUGGAGAGCA